This 753-nucleotide ribosomal RNA is filed under the name Triticum aestivum (bread wheat). Its description in RNAcentral is "partial small subunit ribosomal RNA". The record is from RNAcentral. Lineage: Eukaryota; Viridiplantae; Streptophyta; Magnoliopsida; Poales; Poaceae.
AUGUCUGAAAUGUGCUUCUGGUUAGAGAAGCACAUGGGGUCCUCGUGCUUGUGCCAUUCCCUAGCAAACCGCGGCUGUGCAGGCGAGAUGUCCAGCGCAAGCUCCGGCAAGUGCCAAACACUUGGCCCCAGCAGACCUGAUCCAGAUCACACCACGGCACCUCCAAAACCACAGCACUGCACGUACCCUACCCAUUGUAUACCAUCACAGGCCACCGUGUCGGCGCCAGCUUUACCCUUGGACUAUAAAUCCAUGGCUAAAUGCCCUCCUAACACCACCACUUCAUCCACAGACAAAAGGCAAUUCCAGAUGGCCAAGAACCUCGCUCAGCUGGCCAAGAAGUGGCAGAGGGUGGUGGCUAUGGGGAGGAAGAGGCUCACCUCAUCAACAUCAGGGGAGGAAACCGGAGGGCCGUGUGGCACGUCGUGCUUGCCUGUGGCUGGCAAGGGUCACUUCGUCGUGUACACUACCGACGGUGCGAGGUUCGAGGUGCCGCUUGCAUUCCUUGGCACGACCGUCUUCGACGAGCUCUUGAGGAUGUCCCAAGAGGAGUUCGGCUUCACAGGCGUUGAUGGUGGCAGAAUCAGGCUGCCCUGUGACGCAUCAAUGAUGGAGUAUGCCAUGUUCUUGCUCAGGAGAACUGCGUCCUCAGAGAUGGAGGCCGCAUUCCUCAACACCAUGGUGAUGCCAUGCCACUAUCAUGCGGAGCUACAUCUCGGAGUUAGCCAGCAUUAUGAUGUCUGCAGCUCCUGA